RNAcentral lists this transfer RNA (62 nucleotides) under Loxodonta africana (African savanna elephant). It matches the Rfam family "tRNA", at positions 5 to 66 of the family's 71-position model. Rfam says of the family: Transfer RNA (tRNA) molecules are approximately 80 nucleotides in length. Their secondary structure includes four short double-helical elements and three loops (D, anti-codon, and T loops). The record is from Rfam by way of RNAcentral. Lineage: Eukaryota; Metazoa; Chordata; Mammalia; Proboscidea; Elephantidae.
UGGUAGUUCAAUGGUAGAACUCUAGUGUUUCACGCAGGUAACCUGGGUUCGAUUCCCAGCCA